RNAcentral lists this long non-coding RNA (204 nucleotides) under Gossypium barbadense (sea-island cotton). RNAcentral's name for it is "long non-coding RNA (GBAR_LNC005540)". The record is from RNAcentral. Lineage: Eukaryota; Viridiplantae; Streptophyta; Magnoliopsida; Malvales; Malvaceae.
AGAGAUACGGUUUAGUCGAUUCUAGGACUAACGUUGUGCGUAUGAGUCUAGCUCUACAUGCCAUAUUAUAUAAUGCGAUAGUGUGAUGACUUCUGACAUUUGAAAACGUGUUUUCCUAUAGUAAAUGGAUACUGACAGAGCUGUAGCUGAUGAUGUCGAGAGUAUAGCACCUGCUCCUGUGCAAGGGAUAGCGCUGGUUGAUUC